CAGCGCUUCACCGUCCUCUCCGUCCUGAUUGAGGGUCAGACUCACACAACGUGAAUCGACGUACAAUGAGGGGAAUUCAAGCCGAAUUGUAUUUGAGCUUUUCGGCCACAUGCUCGCGUGUUGUUCGGUCGACAGAACCCGGAUGUGCCGUUCAGAAACGGAAACGUGGAAACGUCGACGACGGAUUUCUAUUUUGCAAUAGUGACACAAGUGACUUGUUAAUUACAGCCUGUCCUCAACUCACAGACUUCGUGGCUUGAUUUAUUGAGACGUUAGACAGAUAGAAACUGACUCAACCGGCUCGCGCAGACGGACUUCAAAGAGCCGACAUGUAAAGGCGUUAGUUAGGUAACAGUCAGCCGCACCAGUAAACUAGUCCAGCUCCCUCGAUGUUGCUUAAACGUCGGUUCAACGAUCACUUCACUUGCCAAUCGCCCUACUUCUGGCACAUUGUUGUGGUCUGGCAUCCACGUGACAACAGAUUAAAAUGUGUCCAGACGCGUAUAAAGUUAACCCGUGCGGAGCCAUUUCUGUUGAAUAAACUUUAUUCCUUCUUUCAAUCAAACACGUGUCUCAUACUGUGAUAUGACUGCUGUUACAUGGCCGUGCAUCGGUGCAUCUCAUCCUCACGUGUGCAGAGAAGCAGCCCCACUGAGAGGAGACGGCCGGAGAGGGAGGAAGAGGUCCCUCAGAGAGAAGAUGGAUGUGGAGGAGCCCGAUCUGGGGUUUGAGGCGUGUAGCACCAAGAGGAACCGGAAGGCAUGAUCAACAGGGAAAGGAACACAUCUGGUUGCAGUGAGGCUGAGUCCUCUGGCCUCCCUGCUUAUCCAGUCUGUGUGCCACAAUGCCAAUGGGAGGAAGGAGGAGGAGAACAGAUAAGAUUUAAUUUUCAUCCCCUCUCUGUGUAAACUGUCCCUUCCAGGAUAUCCAAGACCAGUUGUUGGGUUCCUGUUGCACAGCAGAGGGCAGCAUUGAGUCGACAAGUCCCAGCUCCAUGCUAGAGUACUGGGUGUACUGCGAUAACCAGCACGACAUGGCCGACUGUCCUGUAGCCAGCAUCAUCCUCACCCCUCCUGCCACUCCAGCAGCCCACAGUCUGUUCGCUCCUAGUUCAGUGACAGCUGCUGUGUCUGCAGUGAGCUCUGUGGUUAAAUCCAUGGUGUGCAGCCCCGUGACCGACCGCUGCGGCCCCAUCAGUCCCACCCGCUCAGCCUGGGACGCUCUGGGAUCCACAUCCAGGAGUCCUGGCAGCUCUGACCGGGAUCCUGUCAGUGCUGCCGCUCACCUCCACCUGUUGGGAGAAUCCUUGUCCCUGAUUGGACACCAUCUCCAGGAGACUAGUAAAGUGGUGAGCGUGUCGAGCAGCGCGUCUCUGCUCUUGGACUCCCUGCUGUGCGCUCUGGCUCCUCUCAUCGGCCUCACCGCACAGAUCCCAGAGCUGAGGAGCUGCACCCAGCACACACUGCCCUCUACCCUGGAAAACAUUUCCUUCCUGAUGCCCGGGUUGUGAGUGAUGGGGACCUCACUGAUGAUGCUGAUAGGCUCUGUGGGGCAGCUUACAUGUACACACAGACGAUUCAUCUCAAAUAUGUUCUGUUGGAAAUUAAUAUUAGUUUGCACCAUCUGGAAAGAUUGAAUUGUGUAACUGGGCACAUUAGAAGUGUCACUUUAUUUUCUUCUCCUUCACAGUGAAGUUUAUCUGGCGUCUCCAUGGAUUUACAACAUAGUCUCCUAAAUGUUCUUUUACACUCGCAUGUAAAAGUUGUAGAAACUACAAGUUGCAUGAGUUCAUUUAAAUUAAUAUAAACUAUAUAUUUAGCCCCUGAUCAAUUUGACUGCAUACAAACACAGAAGCUUCAAUUUCACAUCUGUGUAAUUAUAGUAAAUUCAAUAAACAUGAAUCAACUCUCGUGACAUGGAGCCAGAGAACUGAAUUAGUUUGAUAUUCCAGGAGGUGGCGCUGUGCUUCACAAUGAAUCCCGAUUGUUUUUCGCAAUGCAGUCUAGUUAUGUCGAAUAUAGAACAAGAACAUGAUUUAAAUAUUGUACUAGAUCAAAGACCAUAUUUCAUAGCUACGCAGCUCGGGUGUAAUUUUCACCAACUGGUCAAGAGGAGAAAAAGUUUGCUUCCCAAAUCAAUAAAAAAAUUGGCAUUUGUACACAUUUUUUCACGCACUUUUUGUAUGUGUAUUAGCGUCAUACUUCUGAGUCAUUAUGCCCGAUCAGAAAAAACUAAAUACUUUAAAGCUAAAUACACUUUGAAGGUUGUAUUCCUGUAAAAAUAUCUAAAUAAAAUAUGAAGUCUAACAAAAUUAA
RNA transcript from Pseudoliparis swirei, 2315 nucleotides. It is a transcript of the gene named HMG box-containing protein 4-like, with no coding region annotated. Lineage: Eukaryota; Metazoa; Chordata; Actinopteri; Perciformes; Liparidae. The transcript is spliced from 7 exons. The record is from RefSeq and is a predicted model, not a curated record.